GACGAACGCUGGCGGCGUGCUUAACACAUGCAAGUCGAACGGAAAGGCCCUGCUUUUGUGUGGUGCUCGAGUGGCGAACGGGUGAGUAACACGUGAGUAACCUGCCCUUGACUUUGGGAUAACUUCAGGAAACUGGGGCUAAUACCGGAUAGGAGCUCCUGAUGCAUGGUGGGGGUUGGAAAGUUUCGGCGGUUGGGGAUGGGCUCGCGGCUUAUCAGCUUGUUGGUGGGGUAGUGGCUUACAAAGGCUUUGACGGGUAGCCGGCCUGAGAGGGUGACCGGCCACAUUGGGACUGAGAUACGGCCCAGUCUCCUACGGGAGGCAGCAGUGGGGAAUAUUGCACAAUGGGCGGAAGCCUGAUGCAGCAACGCCGCGUGCGGGAUGACGGCCUUCGUGUUGUAAACCGCUUUCGCCUGUGACGAAGCGUGAGUGACGGUAAUGGGUAAAGAAGCACCGGCUAACUACGUG
This 468-nucleotide ribosomal RNA is filed under the name uncultured bacterium. RNAcentral describes it as "partial 16S ribosomal RNA". It matches the Rfam family "Bacterial small subunit ribosomal RNA", at positions 28 to 507 of the family's 1533-position model. The record is from RNAcentral.